RNAcentral lists this transfer RNA (77 nucleotides) under Oleispira antarctica. RNAcentral's name for it is "tRNA-Arg". It matches the Rfam family "tRNA". From Rfam's summary of the family: Transfer RNA (tRNA) molecules are approximately 80 nucleotides in length. Their secondary structure includes four short double-helical elements and three loops (D, anti-codon, and T loops). The record is from RNAcentral. RNAcentral also lists the same sequence under 1 other name. Lineage: Bacteria; Pseudomonadati; Pseudomonadota; Gammaproteobacteria; Oceanospirillales; Oceanospirillaceae.
CCGCCCUUAGCUCAGUUGGAUAGAGUGUCGGCCUCCGAAGCCGAAGGCCGCAAGUUCGAUUCUUGCAGGGCGGGCCA